Molecule: non-coding RNA, 962 nt
Filed under: Darevskia dahli
Lineage: Eukaryota; Metazoa; Chordata; Lepidosauria; Squamata; Lacertidae
Description: 12S ribosomal RNA
Rfam family: Bacterial small subunit ribosomal RNA
Source: RNAcentral
AACAGUUUUGGUCCUGAGCUAACCGUUCUUUUUUAUUAAGAUUAUACAUGCAAGCCUCAGCACACCAGUGAAAAUGCCCACAACCCCUUAAAAGACAUAUUGGAGCCGGCAUCAGGCACUACAAUUUAAGCCCAUAACGCCUUGCUACGCCACACCCCCACGGGUAAAUCAGCAGUAAUAAACAUUGGGCUAUAAGUGAAAACUUGACCCAACUAUAAUAUAUUAGGGCUGGUCAAUUUCGUGCCAGCCACCGCGGUUAUACGAAAGGCCCAAAAUAACGGCUAACGGCGUAAAAUGUGACUAGAGAUUUCAUAACAUUAAAAAUAUCAUAAACCUAUAACCUAGUUGUAAAACACUUAGAUAUUAAAGGAAAACCAACAUAUGUAUUUUUAAUAUUAUAUUCUUGACCACACGAAAGCUUAGAAACAAACUAGGAUUAGAUACCCUACUAUGCUAAGCCCUUAACAUUGAUAGCAUCAUAUACAACCUUUCCGCCAGAGAACUACAAGUGAAAAACUUAAAACUCAAAGGACUUGACGGUGUCCCAUAUCGACCUAGAGGAGCCUGUCCUAUAAUCGAUACUCCCCGCUCCACCCAACCCCAACUAGCAUACCUCAGCCUAUAUACCGCCGUCGAUCAGCCUACCCUAUGAAAGUCCAAUAGUAGACACAAUAGCCCUAUCGCUAGUACGUCAGGUCAAGGUGUAGCAAAUGUUGUGGAAGAGAUUGGCUACAUUUUUUAUUAUAAAAAAUACGAAAAAUACUAUGAAACAGUAUAUGAAGGUGAAUUUAGUAGUAAAAUAAACAAGAGUGCUUAUUUUAACAACGCUCUGGGACGCGUACACACCGCCCGUCACCCUCCUCAACUAACCUAAACUUUACCCUUUAUAAAUCAACAAAAGUUAAAAUAGAGGAGGUAAGUCGUAACAUGGUAAGCGUACCGGAAGGUGUGCUUGGAUUAAC